RNAcentral lists this ribosomal RNA (1292 nucleotides) under uncultured archaeon. Its description in RNAcentral is "16S ribosomal RNA". It matches the Rfam family "Archaeal small subunit ribosomal RNA", at positions 1 to 1311 of the family's 1478-position model. The record is from RNAcentral.
UCUGGUUGAUCCUGCCGGAGGAUACUGCUAUCCGGGUUCGACUAAGCCAUGCGAGUUGAGAGGGUUCGGCCCUCGGCGAACUGCUGAGUAAUACACAGUUAAUCUACCCUUAGGUCAGGGAUAAUCCCGGGAAACUGGGGCUAAUACCUGAUAGUUACCGAGCACUGGAAUGUCUCGGUAAUGAAAGCUCAGGCGCCUAAGGAUGAAACUGUGGCCUAUCAGCUUGUUGGGGGUGUAAUGGACCCCCAAGGCGAUAACGGGUAGGGGCCAUGAAAGUGGGGGCCCCCAGAUGGAUUCUGAGACAUGAAUCCAGGACUUACGGGUCGCAGCAGGCGCGAAACCUUCACAAUACUCUAACGAGUGAUGAGGGGACCCGGAGUGCCGCAGCACUGCUGUGGCUUUUGUCCACUACAAAUAGGUGGACGAAUAAGGGGUGGGUAAGACGGGUGCCAGCCGCCGCGGUAAUACCCGCGCCCCAAGUGGUAUCCACGAUUAUUGGGCUUAAAGCGUCCGUAGCCGGUCUGACAAGUCCUUGGUGAAAUCCUACAGCAAACUGUAGGGCUUGCCGAGGAUACUGUCAGACUUGGAACCAGGAGAGGGUAGGAGUAUUCCAAGGGUAGGGGUAAAAUCCUAUAAUCCUUGGAAGACUACCUGUGGCGAAGGCGCCUACCUGGAAUGGGUUCGACGGUGAGGGACGAAAGCUAGGGGAGCGAUCGGGAUUAGAUACCCCGGUAGUCCUAGCCGUAAACGAUGCCCGUUUGGUGUUGCAAACCUUUAGGGGGUCUGCAGUGCCGGAGCGUAAGUGUUAAACGGGCCGCCUAGGGAGUACGACCGCAAGGUUGAAACUUAAGGGAAUUGGCGGGGGAGCACACAAGGGGUGGAGGUUGCGGUUUAAUUGGAUUCAACGCCGGGAACCUUACGGGGGGCGACGGCAGGAUGAGGGUCAGGCUGAAGACCUUACCAGACAAGCCGAGAGGUGUUGCAUGGCCAUCGUCAGCUCGUACCGUGAGGCGUGCGGUUAAGUCCGUUAACGAGCGAGACCCUCGCCCUAUGUUGCUAUCCCGUAAGGGAGCACUCAUAGGGGACCGCUGGCGAUAAGCCAGAGGAAGGUGAGGGCGACGGUAGGUCAGUAUGGCCCGAAUCUCCCCGGCUACACGCGACCUACAAUGCAUAGGACAAUGGGACGCGACCCCGAAAGGGGAAGCUAAUCCCCUAAACCUAUGCCUAGUUCGGAUCGAGGGCUGCAACUCGUCCUCGUGAAGCUGGAAUCCCUAGUAGGCGAACGUCACCAU